Molecule: ribosomal RNA, 459 nt
Filed under: uncultured bacterium
Lineage: Bacteria
Description: partial 16S ribosomal RNA
Rfam family: Bacterial small subunit ribosomal RNA
Source: RNAcentral
CCUACGGGUGGCAGCAGUGAGGAAUAUUGGUCAAUGGGAGAGAGCCUGAACCAGCAAAGCCGCGUGAGGGAAGACGGCCCUAUGGGUUGUAAACUUCUUUUGUCGGAGAAUAAAACCCGGGACGUGUCCCGGACUGCGUGUAUCCGACGAAAAAGCAUCGGCUAACUCCGUGCCAGCAGCCGCGGAAAUACGGAGGAUGAGAGCGUUAUCUGGAUUUAUGGGGUUUAAAGGGGGCGUAGGCGGUCUGUUAAGUCAGCGGGAAAAUUGCGGGGCUCAACCCUGUCGAGCCGUUGAAACUGGGAGACUUGAGUUGGCGAGAGGUAAGCGGAAUGCGCGGUGUAGCGGUGAAAUGCAUAGAUAUCGCGAAGAACUCCGAUGGCGAAGGCAGCGUACCGGCGCCAGACUGACGCUGAGGCACGAAAGCGUGGGGAUCGAACAGGAGUAGAUACCCGUGUAGUC